This 5007-nucleotide long non-coding RNA is filed under the name Nicotiana benthamiana. RNAcentral's name for it is "long non-coding RNA (NBEN_LNC032980)". The record is from RNAcentral. Lineage: Eukaryota; Viridiplantae; Streptophyta; Magnoliopsida; Solanales; Solanaceae.
UAUUCUUUUAUUUUCUGGUUUUCUUUUCUCGAUAUACAUGUAUAUAUAUACAGUGUCCUUGUACAGAUGAGGUUAAUUCAAUGCACAGAAAAUUCUCUCCAAGAUACUCUCAUUUUCUUUAUGGUAUCAGAGCAGUAGCGCGUCUUCCUCAUUCCUUUUAGAUUAUCUGAUCUUCCUUUUCAGCCAUGGCUCCUGCUUCAGAUGCAACUGAAACUCCACAAACACACUUUUUCUUCUUCAACAGCAGCAAGCAAUGGAAACUCCAUUGAUCCUUCUCAUACCUUCUUCCUUCAUGCUUCUAAUGCACCAGGUAUGAUACUGGUGAACACUCCAUUUGAUGGUCAUGGUUAUGCUGGUUAGAGCAAAUCCAUCCUCAUCUCACUGUCAUCCAAAAACAAAUUAGGCUUCAUUGAUGGAUCAUGCCCUAAGCCACCUCUCACAGAUCCUACUUACUCAAUCUGGAGUCGAUGCAAUGACAUAGUAACCUCUUGGUUAUUGAACUCACUCACCAAGGUCAUUGUUGAUAGUGUUCUCUACUCAAAAACUUCCAAGGACCUUUGGUCAGAUCUGGAGCACAGGUUUGGGCAGACUAAUGGUGCCAAGCUCUACCACCUGCAAAAUGAACUUGCAGAUUUAGUACAAGGGACUGCUGACAUUGCUACUUACUUCACUAGAAUGAAACGUUUAUGGGAUGAAUUAGACACUCUUAAUUCUGAUAUGCAGUGUUCAUGUAAUUGUGACUGUGGAGGUAAGAAGAAAAUGCAGAAAUUUAAGGAAGAUGAGAGGCUAAUCCAAUUCCUCAUGGGUUUAAAUGGCAUCUAUGGACUGGCUAGAAGCAAUAUACUCAUGGUCAACCCCUGCCUUUAGUUAAUCAAGCAUACUCUCUUCUCAUGCAAGAUGAGAAUCAAAGGGAAAUUCAUGUUAACCCUCAAUUCCCAAUAGAUGGAACCUCUUUUAUGGUGAAGAAUCAAGGAUAUCAGGGUUACCAAAACUCUGCAACACCACCACAAAGGAAUGGGAAUGUUGCAUACAAAGGAAAUUUUGCACAAAAAGGGAAGAAGAAUUCGCAUAUGUGCUCCUACUAUAAAAUGACUAAUCACACAAAUGAAAACUGUUACAGACUUGUGGGAUUCCCUGCUGAUUUCAAGUUUACUAAGAACAAAAGACCGCAAAGUUCCCAAAAGGAAAUUCAGCCACUGUGGUAGAGGAUGCAAAAGAAAUUCAUAGUAACAUGGUGCAGGGACCUCAAUUUGCUCAAAAACUCUCAUCUGAUCAAUUCAGCCAGUUGGUUAACCUUCUGAAUCAACUACAAACAGGACAUGCAACUUCUCAGGAAGUCAACGCAAAUUCAGUUUCUGGUAUUUUGUUCACCAAUUCUCCUUCCUGUUAUUCAGUUUCUAAUUCUAAUCUUUCUCAUUCCUAGAUUAUAGAUUCAGGGGCAAGUGAACAUAUGUGUUUUAAUACCAACACAUUCUUAUUCCUAAUAUCACUGCCUUAUCCUCUUAUGGUAAAGUUACCAGAUUCUUAUAGGGUAAAGGUUACUCAUGCUGGUAGUGUAUCUAUUUUCCCAGGCCUAGUUCUGGAAAUGUCUUAUAUAUUCCUAGUUUCAAAUACAACUUACUCUCAGUUUGUAGACUCUGUCAAAGGUUCAAAUAUCUUUUGAUUUUCACUCCUAUUGGUUGUAUUUUGCAGGGCCCUCUCAUGAAGAGCCCUCAAGUUUUUGGUAAAGCUAAGGAGGGACUUUACUUAGUCAAGUCUAAUGUCACAAAGCCUAGGAACCUGUUUUCUAGUUCAGCUAAUAGAUUGUUACAUGUCUCUUUUUCUAAUGCUCUUUCGGUUUCUUUUCUUAUUUCAGCAACAUCAGAAUCUGCUGUAAAACUUUGGCAUGUAAGAUUGGGGCAUUUUCCUUUCAAUUUAAUGAAAUAUAUCAGUUCCAUUUCAUUUGUUUCUAUUCUAGUUGUCAUUGUGAAGUUUAUCCUUUAGCUAGGCAGUCUAGAUUACCAUUUCCAAUUAGUCAUAUUAAAACAAAGCACCCAUUUGACUUAAUACAUAUUGACACAUCGGGUCUUUAUAGAACCCCUACUCACAAUGGAUACAAGUACUUUCUCACUAUUGUGGAUGAUUUUAGUAGAGCUACUUGGACUUAUUUACUUAGCACCAAGGGUAGUGCAUUUUUGGUUCUUAAAUAUUUUUUGAGCAUGGUGGAAAGGCAAUUCAAUUCUAAGGUCAAGGUUAUCAGGUCAGAUAAUGCUUUGGAAUUGGGUAGCAGUACUGCAGCUUCAUUAUUUUUCUUGUCACAAGGUAUUUUACAUCAGACUUCUUGUGUGGGAACUCCUCAACAAAAUGGAAUUGUGGAGAGGAAACAUAAACAUUUGUUAGAAGUAGCUAGGGCUCUACUUUUUCAAUCUAAAGUGCCUCUUUGCUAUUGGUGAGAAUGCAUCCUAUCAGCUACAUUUCUCAUCAACAGAUUUCCCUUUAGAGUUCUAAAAGGACAUACUCCCUAUCAUCUACUAUUUGGGAAAGAACCCUCUUAUGCUUUCUUAAAAAGUUUUGGUUGUCUUUGUUAUGCUUCUACCUUAUCCCAUCACAGAGAAAAGUUUGAUCCUAGGGCUAUAGCAUGUGUAUUUAUGGGCUAUCCUGCUGGUCAAAAGGGAUAUAAGCUAUUGAAUCUCACCACCAAGAAAUUGUUUGUUUCCAGGGAUGUUCAUUUCAUUGAAAACAUCUUUCCUUUAUCUCAUAUGCAUCAACCUGAAACCUAUCCAUGCCCUAAUCAUACCUUUCCUAUAUCUCCUUUCACCUCAGAUUCUUACCACCAACCUACUUCCACUAUACCACAAAAUUGCCUUUCCACUGAUAUUUCCCUUUGGUUGUUCUUCUUCUUCCCCAAAUACCUCUCCUGUUCCUACUCCUACAACAUCACCUCUGCCUCCUCCUCCUCUUCCACUUAGAAGGUCUAAUAGGGACAACUUAGGUACUCUGCCUAGUUAUCUUAAAUAUUAUGUUUGCAGCAACAUCUACCUUAGUGAUGUCACCACUUCCUGCCUCACCUCUACUUGUUCCCCUUCUUCCUUGGCUUUCUCUGCCCUUUAUAGCUCUAAUCAACACCUCAUUGAAUCAGUUUCCUCUUUUACAGAACCUACCUCUUAUUCCCAUUCCUGCACUCACCCAGGUUGGAUCCAAGCUAUGAAUUUAGAACUCAAAGCUCUGGAAGAAAACCUGACAUGGGAUGUGGUACUUCUACCUACUGGGAAAAAGGCUUUACCCUGUAAAAGGGUCUAUAAGGUCAAACACAAUGCUGAUGGCUCUAUUGAAAGAUUGAAAGCAAGAUUGGUUAUAAGGGGUGAUGUUUAGAGAGAAGGUAUUGAUUACACAGAAACCUUCUCUCCAGUUGUUAAGAUGACCACAAUCAGAUGUUUGCUUUCUAUGCAGUCAAGAAAGGUUGGUCUAUCUCUCAAUUUGAUGUGAGCAAUGCUUUCUUACAUGGGGAAUUACAAGAAGAAGUUAAUAUGAGAUUUCCUGCUGGUUUACCUUUCCCAAUCCCCAAUCAUGUUUGUCAACUUAAGAGGUCUCUUUAUGGUUUAAAACAAGCCUCCAGGCAGUGAUAUGCCAGGCUUGCAGGGGCACUCAGUUUCGAGGGUUUUUCUGCUUCACUAAAACUAUUCUCUAUUUUUCAAAAGAACAUGAUCUCUUAUCUCCAUUGUUGCAGUCUAUGUUGAUGACAUACUAUUUACAGGGGAUAAUCUCGCGAAAUUAUCAUAUCUCAAAUUAUUUCUACAUUCUGAAUUUAAAAUGAUGGAUCUUGGACCACUUCAUUUAUUUUUAGGAAUGGAAAUUUUGCAAGAAGACAAGGAAAUUAUUAUUACUCAAAGGAAAUUUACCUCUGAUUUACUUCACGAGUUCGAUUGCUCAGAUCUUCCUUUUGCUUCUUCACCCUUGGAUCCCUCUUCCAAAUUGGUUGCUAAUUCUGGUCCUCCAUUAGCUGAUGCUUCUCUUUAUCGGCGUUUAUGGGUAAACCAACUAUUUGACCCACACUCGACCAGAUCUUUCCUUUGAUGUACUCACCCUCAGUCAGUUCAUGCAAAGACCUUGUCUUGAUCAUUUCACUGCAGGCCUGCGUGUUCUUCGUUACAUCUCCUCCACCUCUGGCCAGGGUCUGUUUCUUAAUGCUCAUCCCUCUUUGGAUCUCUUGGCUUUCUGUGACGCCGACUGGGUAUCUUGUAGGGAUACUCGACGCUUUGUUAGUGGCUUCUUUAUCAGUUGAGGCGAUUCUUCUAUGUCUUGGAAAUCCAAGAAACAAGCCUCUACUUCUCUUUCUUAUGCAGAAGAUGAGUAUCGCUCCAUGCGUCGUUUGGUUGCAGAGCUGACAUGGUUGACUCGUUUGCUCACAUAUCUAUCAGUUCCUCCUCCGAUACCUGCUCCUAUCUUCUCCGAUAGUCAGGAUUCCAUCCAUAUUGCCCGAAAUCCCGUGUUUAACGAGCGGACUAAGCAUGUUGAGCUCGAUUGCCACUUUGUCCGGCAACAAUUUCUCUCCGGCCUCAUUUCUCUGACGUUUGCUCCCUCAAAAUUGCAGCUUGCUGAUUUAUAUACCAAACCCUUAUCAGGGCCUGCUCACACGUUCAUCCUUGGCAAGUUGGGUGUGUCUUCUACACCCUCCAACUUGAAGGGGGUGUUGGAAUAAAUAAGUCCAUGAUUUGUGCUGGAAAGGAAAUAAAUUUGCAGAAGUUGGAUGAAGAAGAAGAAAUGAAACUCAAGCUUGAAGAUGACGGACAAAACUAGGCAAAGUCACAAUUAAGUCUUUGACUCUACUAUGAGUCAAUUAGCCACAUGGCUUCAUCACAACUGUUCAAAGAAAUAUUGAUGGAUUAAAUCUGGUUCGUCCAUUUUGCACUCAUACUCUGAAAGCUUCACAUACACGAAUUGGACCACUUGAAGAAGGAAUAAUAUUGUGUGUUAGUUUGUUAUACAUACACAAAUAGUAUUAGGACAAGUGUAUAUUUUUCAUAGGCU